Pseudoliparis swirei is the source of this 261-nucleotide long non-coding RNA. RefSeq lists it as uncharacterized. NCBI's taxonomy places the organism in Eukaryota, Metazoa, Chordata, Actinopteri, Perciformes, Liparidae. The record is from RefSeq and is a predicted model, not a curated record. The transcript is spliced from 3 exons.
UGUACCAACAGUAUUUGUUCAUCGAAAAGCAGCAGCAUCAGAUAAAGGCCGCAAUGUUCGUGUUGCGAACAGAGAUAAACAAAAGUUUCUUCAUGAACUGUCAAAAGCCUCAGCAGCAAGUUCAGUAGCACCAGCACAAAGCCCUCCAUCAUCAGGUGAUUGUGACUCUGAAGAACCAGUUCAGCUGGGACAGCCAGAUCCUGUAUAUCCUGCCAAUGUGUGUCAUCGUGAGGUCCAGACAGACCCAGUACAGAUAUUUCC